This 71-nucleotide transfer RNA is filed under the name Marmota monax (woodchuck). Its description in RNAcentral is "tRNA.Ala". It matches the Rfam family "tRNA". Rfam says of the family: Transfer RNA (tRNA) molecules are approximately 80 nucleotides in length. The record is from RNAcentral. Lineage: Eukaryota; Metazoa; Chordata; Mammalia; Rodentia; Sciuridae.
GAGGUUGUGGCUCAGAGGUAGAGUGCUCGCCUAGCAUGUGUGAGGCACUGGGUUCGAUCCUCAGCACCACA